Long non-coding RNA from Populus trichocarpa (black cottonwood), 2602 nucleotides. RefSeq lists it as uncharacterized. The record is from RefSeq and is a predicted model, not a curated record. The transcript is spliced from 4 exons. NCBI's taxonomy places the organism in Eukaryota, Viridiplantae, Streptophyta, Magnoliopsida, Malpighiales, Salicaceae.
ACUAUUUGUAAGCUAUUAUAGACUCAGAUGGAUGCGAGGGAGAUGGGGAGAGAGAGAGAGAGCACUCGAGAAUAUAUAUGGCGAAGGAGAAAGAUUCAGUUUAAAUCAAGUAUUGCUUUGAGAAAUGAGGCAAGAAUGCUACUCAACUCAAAUCUUAUUUUCAUUUGUUUCGGAAUUCACCACAAUUAUGCAUGGAGCAUGCUCUGCACAUUGUGACUGCCUAUCAUCUACUGGACCUCCUGAGUUCGAGGAUCAAUGUGAAUCAGCAAUGCAAGAAGUUCUGUUUCUCGCUUCAUGGUUUGACUCGACGGAAAUAGCUGAGACUAGGAAGCUAAUAUUACAUCUGAAAUGAAGCACUGCGGUGGUUGAAGGUGCCUGUUCAAGUUAUUAUGUUUUAUGUGCUGCUUUGCUUACUGAGUAAUCACCCUCGUGCACCUUUUGCCUUGUAUAUAGCGUAGCCCAAUUCUGUGUUUUUUAAUGUAUUUUCAUGCCCAUAUUUGGACUUCAUUUUUUUUUAAGGCAUGUACUGCAAAAGCUCCAUAAACUUUGGUCAUUGGUGCCGGUGGAGUUGGUGAAAGUGACUGCAGAAGUAGCGAAAUUUCACUUGAUAAACAAAUGCUGGAACGUGUUACCGCUGCUACUCGUCGUGAAGUAUCUGUACUUUGUGGCUGCCUAUGUUGCCACUCCUCGUAAAGAAUCUUUUACUUUAUGGCUGAUGCAAUCCCAUGCUCUUAUCCGUGAAUGAUCUCAGCAUUUUGAGCUUUUAAUGCAUGGACCAUGGAGCAACCUAUCUAUCAGGCAACAGCCUGAAAUAUCAUCGACCAUUAGUCUCAGCUGUCUAGAAAAUUCAGUAUCUACUCAGAGCAGUUAAGAAUGCUGAUUUCUUUAACCGCUGGGUAUGAGCUGUUCGUGACCCAGUUGCCGUGUUGUAGAGGUAUAUAUAGCAACUUAACUAAAUAGCAUCAGCUUAAAUUCCUUAGGUAAUUUCAAACGGGGAUGUUUAAACUUGUUAGCUCUGGAUCCCUCUAUAUAUUAACUGUGGAGGUUUGAAAUGAUACAUGGCUCAUCCUCGACAGGCACAGACAGCUGCUGGUUGGUGUGGCUGGGAGGGGCAACAGGCCCUUCAUUUAUGACAAGGGACCCCAUCGCAUGUUCAUAUUUCUCAGGGUAGAUUCAUAUACGAUCAGACCACAUUGCUUGAUGGUGGCUAAAAUAUAGCAGGUGUACGUCCUUGUUGCAGAGAUACCAAGCAACCUCUCUAAACUUAAACCGGUCCAAGCAAACAGCAUUAAGUGGUUGGUUCUUGGAAGUGGUCAAAACACAUAAUUUGAUAAAACCACAUUCCUUGUCUGCAAGGUAUUGUGUUUUUAAAAUGUCAUAACUGCCCAUCUGUGAUAGAGACACCCUUGCCCUCGUUGUAUUGUAUUUUUCUAGGAUGGGCAAGGUUUCUUUCUCUGUGUGAUUGACCUAAUCUGGUGAUGACGCUACAAAAGUGGAGCCUUUUGGUGUGUGGUCUACCAUGACGGGCUCCCCACGUGAUUGACAAUUUGAAGCCCAAGUCAGCACUCCACAACCCAAUCCAGCCUCCCCUCCCUCUCUCUCGAAAAUAAAAUAUACAUAGAAAAAGUGACGUGAAGGACUCCAACAGCCUUAGAUGAUGCUGAACCAUUGUCACAAGAAACUCUGGUCGGCUUAUUUUUUAGAUUUUUCUUGCUUAGCUCUCUAAUUAUUUAACUAAGCAUUGUUUCUCCCUUCCUCUCCCUGUUAUGGCACAUAAUGCCGUCCUUUGUCUGUCCGGUGUCCACCUGUCGCUCAUUUGGAGUGUCUCUGGCCCACCCAUUUAGGCAUCUAUGAUAUCAAUUUGUGUGUGCUAUGACAACCUACCUCUCAUGAUUUGUCUUGCUCCAUAUUUUACAAUGGCAUGAGUGUGUUAUCGACAAGGAUUGGAUGGCUAUUAUCGUUUCAGAGGCUGUAUUUGUUUUUUAAGUAAUCGAGUCAACUGUAACCAGGUCUUUGGCCUGUGCAUGCAUGACGUGUACGAAACAGCCUUUUUGAUUGAGGAUCGUUACAGGUAUAAUACACAUCACAGGGCUAGCAAGCAAAUCAGAGUGGCUGCGUGGCUGGAAAUAGCAGGAGAAUCUCGUUGUUCAAAAACUGUUCUAUAUUGUCCAGCAAAUUCAUCUACAGGGAACCUUAAUUUGAUGGCUUGGGAGGAGGAUUUGAGUUUAUGAACCUGUGUUGAGAGGUGUAUUGCUGCCCAGCUGGACUUUACCUGGGUCUGCUUUAUUAUCCAUACUAACUUCUGUAAAUGGAAUCACAAUUAUGAAUUCAAUAAGCUCUUAGGGUUAGCUUUUGGUGACCUGGGACCACAUCUGAACUUCAAAUUUUUCCACUGCCCUAGAAUCCAUAGAGCUUUUAGUCUCUGUACUUUCACCUACUGGUCUUAUAAAUUCAAAAUUUAGUUAACCCUGUUUCCCAACACCAACAAACCUACUUUGUUUCUCGUGUAGUUGGUGAGGAUAUGACAAAUUACAGCAAAUGUCGUAGAAAAAUUUCAAGAAUGUCUGUUUCCUUGGACAAUGUUGCAUCCCAGUUUUCAAAA